Molecule: long non-coding RNA, 1443 nt
Filed under: Ananas comosus (pineapple)
Lineage: Eukaryota; Viridiplantae; Streptophyta; Magnoliopsida; Poales; Bromeliaceae
Description: long non-coding RNA (ACOM_LNC008943)
Source: RNAcentral
GGAUUUAGGUCAUGAACUUGGUUCAUGAAUCCAAGUUGGAAGUCGGGUAUGGGUUCUAUUUAUGAUUGGGUUUGGAUUUAAGGUUAUUUGUGGAUUGGAUUGGAUUUGAGUUUGAUUUUAUUUGUGGACUUGAUUUGGUUUGAGUUUGGAUUUGAUUUGGAUUUUGGGUUUUUAUUUGUGGACUUAGGUUUGAUUUGGGUUUUAUGGGUUUAGGUUUUGGUUUUGGGUUUCGAUUUAUUUGUGGACUUGAUUCGGGUUUGGGCUUGGAUUUUAUUUGGGUUUUGGGUUUGGAUUUAUUGUGGACUUGAUUCGGGUUUGGGGCUUGGAUUUUAUUUGUGGACUUGGUUUGGAUUUGGGUCCGGAUUUAGGUUUUGGGUUUAUGUUUUAUUUGUGGACUUGGUUUGAUUUGGGCUUGGAUUCAGGUUUGGAUUUAUUUGUGGACUUGAUUCGGGUUUGGGCUUGGAUUUUAUUUGUGUACUUGGUUUGGAUUUGGGUCUGGAUUUGGGUUUUGGGUUUGGAUUUUAGUUGUGGACUUGGGUUUUCUUUUCAAUUCUAUUUCGGGUCCAAGGAAAUCCUCUUUUGAUUUUGUAAUUCGAUUUGGGGUCCGAAGAAAUCUCCUUUUGAUUUUGCAAUUCGAUUUGGGGUCCGAAAAAAUCCCUUUUGAUUUUACAAUUCGAUUUGGGGUCCGAAGAAAUCCCUUAUUGAUUCUAAUUUGAUUUGGGGUUCGAAGAAAUCCCCGUUUUGAUCUUGAUUUGGGUUCGAAGAAAUCCCCUUAUUGAUUCUAAUUUGAUUUGGAUUCCGAAGAAAUUUUCGUUUUGAUCUUGAUUUGGGGUCCGAAGAAAUUUUUGUUUUGAUCUUGAUUUGGGGUCCGAAGAAAUUCCCGUUUGAUUCAUGAUUUGGGGUCCGAAGAAAUUCCCGUUUGAUUCUAAUUUGAUUUGGGGUGUGAAGAAAUCCCCGUUUGAUUUAUAAUUUGGGGUCCGAAGAAAUCCCCGUUUUGGUUCUGAUUUAGGGUCCGAAGAAAUUCCCGUUUUGAUUCUAUAGUUCGAUUUGGUUCGGGGUCCGAAAAAUGGGGAAUCUUUGAUUCCCUUCCCCUCUUCUUUCGAAAAUACCGAACCGACGAUGCUGGAGAUGACGGCAAUGAAGAUGAUGUCGGUGGCGCGGAUCUGUUUGGCCGGUGAAUUUGAUUCGAUAUUUUCAAAAGAGAUUGAAGGGUCCGAAGAAACGGGAAAUCUUUGAUUCCCCUCCCCUCUUCUUUUGAAAAUACCGAACCGGCGAUGCUGGAGAUGACGACGGUGAAGAUGAUGUCGGUGGCGCGGAUUUGUUCGGCCGGUAAAUUUGAUUCGAUAUUUUCAAAAGAUGUUGAAGGGUCCGAAGAAACGGAAAAUCAAAGAUUCUCCUCCCUUCUUCUUUCGAAAAUACCGAACCGGCGAUGCUGGGGGUGGU